RNAcentral lists this ribosomal RNA (442 nucleotides) under uncultured bacterium. RNAcentral's name for it is "partial 16S ribosomal RNA". It matches the Rfam family "Bacterial small subunit ribosomal RNA", at positions 338 to 795 of the family's 1533-position model. The record is from RNAcentral.
CCUACGGGUGGCAGCAGUAGGGAAUCUUUCACAAUGGGCGAAAGCCUGAUGGAGCAACGCCGCGUGCAGGAUGAAGGCCUUCGGGUUGUAAACUGCUUUUAUAAGCGAGAAAUAUGAUGGUAACUUAUGAAUAAGGAUCGGCUAACUACGUGCCAGCAGCCGCGGUCAUACGUAGGAUCCGAGCAUUAUCCGGAGUGACUGGGUGUAAAGAGUUGCGUAGGUGGCAUAAUAAGUAGCUAGUGAAAUCUGGUGGCUCAACCAUUCAGACUAUUAGCUAAACUGUUAAGCUCGAGACCGUUAGGGGUAACUGGAAGUUCUAGUGUAGGAGUGAAAUCCGGAGAUAUUAGAAGGAACACCAAUAGCGUAGGCAGGUUGCUGGGACGGUUCUGACACUAAGGCACGAAAGCGUAGGGAGCAAACGGGAUUAGAUACCCCAGUAGUC